RNAcentral lists this ribosomal RNA (788 nucleotides) under Bacillus zhangzhouensis. RNAcentral describes it as "bacterial SSU rRNA". It matches the Rfam family "Bacterial small subunit ribosomal RNA", at positions 45 to 820 of the family's 1533-position model. Lineage: Bacteria; Bacillati; Bacillota; Bacilli; Caryophanales; Bacillaceae. The record is from RNAcentral.
UGCUAUACUGCAGUCGAGCGGAAGAAGGGAGCUUGCUCCCGGAUGUUAGCGGCGGACGGGUGAGUAACACGUGGGUAACCUGCCUGUAAGACUGGGAUAACUCCGGGAAACCGGAGCUAAUACCGGAUAGUUCCUUGAACCGCAUGGUUCAAGGAUGAAAGACGGUUUCGGCUGUCACUUACAGAUGGACCCGCGGCGCAUUAGCUAGUUGGUGGGGUAAUGGCUCACCAAGGCGACGAUGCGUAGCCGACCUGAGAGGGUGAUCGGCCACACUGGGACUGAGACACGGCCCAGACUCCUACGGGAGGCAGCAGUAGGGAAUCUUCCGCAAUGGACGAAAGUCUGACGGAGCAACGCCGCGUGAGUGAUGAAGGUUUUCGGAUCGUAAAGCUCUGUUGUUAGGGAAGAACAAGUGCGAGAGUAACUGCUCGCACCUUGACGGUACCUAACCAGAAAGCCACGGCUAACUACGUGCCAGCAGCCGCGGUAAUACGUAGGUGGCAAGCGUUGUCCGGAAUUAUUGGGCGUAAAGGGCUCGCAGGCGGUUUCUUAAGUCUGAUGUGAAAGCCCCCGGCUCAACCGGGGAGGGUCAUUGGAAACUGGGAAACUUGAGUGCAGAAGAGGAGAGUGGAAUUCCACGUGUAGCGGUGAAAUGCGUAGAGAUGUGGAGGAACACCAGUGGCCAAGGCGACUCUCUGGCCUGUAACUGACGCUGAAGAGCGAAAGCGUGGGGGAGCGAACAGGAUUNGAUACCCUGGUAGUCCACCCCGUAAACGAUGAGUGGUUAA